Molecule: non-coding RNA, 36 nt
Filed under: unclassified sequences
Source: RNAcentral
CCGGAGAAAUCCGAAAAGCCUAUAAAUGAGUAGGAA